GACGAACGCUGGCGGCGUGCCUAAUACAUGCAAGUAGAACGCUGAAGGAGGAGCUUGCUCUUCUGGAUGAGUUGCGAACGGGUGAGUAACGCGUAGGUAACCUGCCUGGUAGCGGGGGAUAACUAUUGGAAACGAUAGCUAAUACCGCAUAAGAGUAGAUGUCGCAUGACAUUUGCUUAAAAGGUGCAAUUGCAUCACUACCAGAUGGACCUGCGUUGUAUUAGCUAGUUGGUGAGGUAACGGCUCACCAAGGCAACGAUACAUAGCCGACCUGAGAGGGUGAUCGGCCACACUGGGACUGAGACACGGCCCAGACUCCUACGGGAGGCAGCAGUAGGGAAUCUUCGGCAAUGGACGGAAGUCUGACCGAGCAACGCCGCGUGAGUGAAGAAGGUUUUCGGAUCGUAAAGCUCUGUUGUAAGAGAAGAACGAGUGUGAGAGUGGAAAGUUCACACUGUGACGGUAUCUUACCAGAAAGGGGACGGCUAACUACGUGCCAGCAGCCGCGGUAAUACGUAGGGUCCCGAGCGUUGUCCGGAUUUUAUUGGGGCGUAAAGCCGAGCGCAGGCGGUUAAAAAAUCCUGAAGUUAAAGGCUGUGGGCUUAACCAUAAUACCCCUUUGGAAACUAUUUAACUUUGGUGCGAGGGGGGGGGAGGGGGAUUUCCUUUUGUAUCAGGGAAAAUGGAAAAAAUAUGCGGGGACACCUCUGGGGGAAAAGGGGCUUCUG
RNAcentral lists this ribosomal RNA (728 nucleotides) under uncultured Streptococcus sp. RNAcentral describes it as "bacterial SSU rRNA". It matches the Rfam family "Bacterial small subunit ribosomal RNA", at positions 28 to 731 of the family's 1533-position model. The record is from RNAcentral. Lineage: Bacteria; Bacillati; Bacillota; Bacilli; Lactobacillales; Streptococcaceae.